UCCUGCGGCUGCAGAAACCACCCGACCUUGGUGUUUGGCCAUUGUUGAAGCCGGACCUUUCUUGUUCCCAGAGAUGAAGCUGUUUCUCCUCCACCUUUCUGCUGCCCUUGUAGCUACAGCAAACUCCCUAAAUUGUGUCUGUACUGAAAGCCCAGCAUGCAGUACUGGUACCUGUUCAAUUCCAGAGUCAGAAGCCAUCUGCAUAACAAUAGCCCAGGAAAAUAACAUGGGAGGAACCGCUGCCACAGGAAUAUCCAGGGGCUGCCAGCAGGAUUCUCAGCUUUGCAAUGAAGCCGUCUCUGUUACUGUGGCUGGAGGGUAUUUUACGAGGACCGUUUCCAAAUGCUGCAUGACAGAAAACUGCAAUAAUACUCCCCUUGAAUUACCACCCAAGAACCUCACCAAGAAUGGAGUGAAUUGUCCCACUAGUUUUGCACUUGGCUCUAACCACUUAGAAGAACCCGGGACUCUGAGUUGCACAGGAGAUGAAAAUAAUUGCAUCUCUGCGGCCGGGGAGCUAACUGCAGGAGAUGCUGCCGCUCUUCCCUUUAUAGCAUCAGGCUGUGCCUCAGCAACUGCCUGCAAUUUGCCUGUGCAGACGUACCUCGUUACUGGAGCCAUGGACUUCCUCCUGAAGAAAAUCAAGUGCAGCCCAUCCCCAGCCACCAACAGCGGCUGAAAGGAGCAGGCGGAAGCAACUUUCUUCACUUUUUGCAGGGUCACUGUGAUUCUUUGUCAUUCCCUGCUGUGAAUUCUUUGAAUAAACUAGCAUGAAAAAGAAUGCCCCCCUCAAAUCGCUACCCCAGUUUACAUUGCUUUAAAGCAGGCAUGGAGAACCUUUGGCUCCGAACUACAAUUCCCAUCAGCUCCAUCCAGUAAGAAUGGCCAGUGUCCAGGGAUGCUCAGAGAUGUAGUUCAGCAACAACCUGAAUGGCCAGAGCUUCCUCACACCUGCUUUACAGUUAGGAAGCUACAUCUGAUCUGCUACUCAAGACUUUCCCAUAAUUAUUAGGGCUGUCUUAUCCAUAUGCACUAGGGGUGUGAGGCACCCGGGUGCCAGGCUCUCAGGGACCCCCGGCCGAGAGUCCGGGGCCCGAGAGUUGAGUCCGGGGAAGAGCCCGCCCGUCGGUUGGAGUGCUGCGGUGGUCUCUUCUGCUGCGGGUGGCUCUCCACCCCAACCCCCCUCCUGCCCAGCGUCUGACAGCGGUGUCAUCAUCAAAGUCUUAAGGUGCCGCACCACCAUGGGACCAAAGCGAGCGGGCAUUCCAGGUCCCCAGACAGGCUUUCAUGAGCCGUCCGCAGAGGCUUGCCACUUGGGUGCCCGGUGGCAGCCAGCCUUAACUUUCCUCCUUCCCUUUCUCUGCCUCCCAAAUUUUAGGCACCUUGCUGGAGAUGGAGGGCAACAUGUGAGCAGGGAGGACAACACAGGCGACAAAGAAAUCGGUUCAGCAGAGUCCCUGGGCAUUUUAUUUGAUUUGUAACCCCCUCCCUGUUGCCAACACCUGGCAUCUGACUGAGCUCCCGCUGUAGCAGCUCCGUCCAGAAGGCGGCGGUGGCAAGGUGUGUGUGCCGGGCGGAUUUUUGCACCCUGGCGCCACAUGUGCUUAAGACAGCCCUGAUGAUUAUAUAGUCAUAGUCCUUCUCCCUCCUCUUUCUCUCUCUCUCUCUUUCUUUCUUUCUUUCUUUCUUUCUUUCUUUCUUUCUUUCUUUCUGUAAAUAAUUUUCACUUUUCAUGAUUAAGCUUAGGUAAGCCUAAAUGCUUGAUCCUGUUACACCUUUACUUAAAUUGUUGUAGAACGUACAAUUCACUUGAGAGUUAUUAUAAGCCUUGCUUGUCAUCUGAUCAAGCUCAG
This 1853-nucleotide long non-coding RNA is filed under the name Podarcis muralis (Common wall lizard). RNAcentral's name for it is "lncRNA (ENSPMRG00000009065.1)". Lineage: Eukaryota; Metazoa; Chordata; Lepidosauria; Squamata; Lacertidae. The record is from RNAcentral.